Molecule: long non-coding RNA, 1624 nt
Organism: Strigops habroptila (Kakapo)
Lineage: Eukaryota; Metazoa; Chordata; Aves; Psittaciformes; Psittacidae
Source: Ensembl
GGAUUUACACAGAAAGGCUUUUAUUAACGAUCAGUAUGUUGGCAGGAAUAAAUUGAAGCACAUUCUGGGACUUUUCUUCUCCCACAUGACUCUUGUGUGGCAGGGACUUGUCCCAUACAGCAAGUUGGGAAAAUUGUUUGAUCCCAGGCUCGGCGCUGACUACAGACUUGGUUUUCCACCACUUCUGUUGCAUUAGAUCUCAACUGAGACCAGCUGAUGGUCCUCACCAGCUCUGAGCUCACCUUACAGCUCCACUAAACAUAUUCUGUUCUCCAGCUAGUUCCCUACAGCCAGGAAACAUGUGCCUCUGCCAACUCCCUGAGCUUCAACUACCCCUUGUCCUGGCAUGAAGGGGACAGUGCUGGGAGGCAGGACACAAUACGCCCAUGGAUCUCGACGGGAUGAGGACAUUCUCUUCGGGUUGGUGAAAGGUCGCCUUGGUGUUCCCAAUUACUAAUUCUGUUACUAUUUGUGAAGGAUGAAGCGUGCUCUGGCUGUUUUGGUGGCUCAGCAGCACAGUCAGUCUGAGCUAUGCAGAGUCCUGCUGGCUAUAUCACUGUAACACUACAGAGGCACUCCAAGCCUGCAAGUAGCAGAGAGCACUCUUCACUUCAGCAUGCCAUGAAGUUUUUGAAACUGCUUUUUUCCCCUCAAUAUCCCUCUUGCAGCAGGUCCAAAACAUAGGCCUUGGUCACUACAGCGUCCCCACUGGUCCCUCCUUCAGUGUGUGAUCUGAGACAUUUCAUUUAAAGGCAGCUAUCACUCCAGCUUAUGGUCAAAAUUCAAUCACUCAAGACAAACUUCACCCAUUUUACUCUAUAAUAGCCUGGAGAUCAGAGUCAGUAUCAAUUGCCUUAGGAAAAACACACACCUAACUCAUGCAGUAACUGUAUGGCCAAACGACAGUGCAGAGUAACAUCCGAAAGAUGAAACUACUACCGACAACAGCCCGGACUACUCCACCACCAUUGGUGGUGAGUUCUUUCACACCUAUCAGGAUUCACUUCACCUUGUAAUAUUCAGGGAGCACAGAAGCAUGAAAUUUGAUUUCUUUCUUCUGAAGAUGCUGGAGAUUAAUUCUUACUUGGUAUCACUGAAAGAAAGCUCUUGUUCAGUGGUUUAAUAUAAUGUCUUUUAAUAUCUGCUUCAGCAAUAAAAUCUCUGCUUUCUUUUCUAUAAAUGUACUAAUCUUACCAAAGGAUAUAAUUUGAACAGUAGAAUGAAGCAGAAUAAAAAUAUGCAGCUGCACACAAACAAUCUUUUCAAACAAGAACCUGCUCUUAACUAUGUGCAGAGUGUUCAAUCAGAUUAGACCUCAAAAACAAUUUAAAUCCCAGUUCCAACCAUCAAUAUGAAGAGCAGAAAAUGUUUUUUUACCCUUUCCUGGAUCUCUGUGUGUGAACAGAUGCACAGUGGAAAGAAGGAGAAGCAAAAGCAGUAAUAGGAGACAGUAAUAGCAGGAAAGGUGAGAUAUAUCAAACAGGGAACACCAAAUAAAGCAGAAAGUGUAGGAGAACUGUCUUGGCAAACAGUGUGUGUAUCGCUGUCUGCAGGCCCUGACCCUAAAGCUUGUUGCUUGAGAGCCAGAUGUAUAGAGAGAGAAAUGAUUCAGUGGGUUAAAAAA